UACAGAGGUCUCAAGCGUUGUUCGGAUUCAUUGGGCGUAAAGGGUGCGUAGGCGGCGCGGUAAGUCGGAUGUGAAAUCUCGGAGCUUAACUUCGAAACUGCAUUCGAUACUGCCGUGCUUGAGGACUGGAGAGGAGACUGGAAUUUACGGUGUAGCGGUGAAAUGCGUAGAUAUCGUAAGGAAGACCAGUGGCGAAAGGCGGG
RNAcentral lists this ribosomal RNA (203 nucleotides) under uncultured bacterium. RNAcentral describes it as "partial 16S ribosomal RNA". It matches the Rfam family "Bacterial small subunit ribosomal RNA", at positions 524 to 725 of the family's 1533-position model. The record is from RNAcentral.